Xyrauchen texanus (razorback sucker) is the source of this 2166-nucleotide RNA transcript. It is a transcript of the gene named dnaJ homolog subfamily A member 3, mitochondrial-like, with no coding region annotated. Lineage: Eukaryota; Metazoa; Chordata; Actinopteri; Cypriniformes; Catostomidae. The record is from RefSeq and is a predicted model, not a curated record. The transcript has 12 exons.
UGCUGUGCAAAGAUGGCGUCUUUCGCAGUUCGCAGCUCCGCACGCUUGAUCACAGUUGCCGUGUCCUCCUGCCUCACACGAGCCUGUCCAGCUCUCAUCUCCUGCCCGAAUGGAGCCUACAGGAGCUUCUCAAAGUUGUCAGGCCGGCAGAUGUGGGCGGCAGGUGGCAGGAUUGGAGGGAGAGACGGGACUGCGGUGACAUUGAGCGGCAUGACAAGAACGGGCCCUCCUCACAUCACCUGUAAGCUGUCGUUCCACACCAGUGCUCCUUUUAAUAAACAAGACUUCUACCAGAUCCUUGGAGUUUCACGUACAGCCACACAGAAGGACAUUAAGAAAGCUUAUUACCAGAUGGCAAAGAAAUAUCAUCCUGACACUAACAAAGACGACCCACAAGCCAAGGAGAAGUUUGCACAGCUGGCCGAGGCCUACGAGGUGCUUAGCGAUGAGGGGAAGAGGAAACAGUAUGACACGUAUGGUUCUGCUGGGUUUGAUGCGGGUCAGGCUGGCGCCGGUCAUCAGCAGUACUGGAGCGGAGGGGCGAGCGUCAACCCAGAGGAGCUUUUCCGCAAGAUCUUCGGAGAGUUUUCUGGAGCACGAGGAUUCGGUGAUUUCAACGGCGUCUUCAAUCAGCCAAAAGAGUAUGUUAUGGAGUUGACGUUUGCUCAGGCUGCCAAAGGUGUGAAUAAGGACAUUACGGUGAACAUCGAGGGCACGUGCCAGCGCUGUGAUGGCAGAGGACACGAGCCUGGAUGUAAAGUCCAGCACUGCGACAACUGCAACGGGACGGGCAUGGAAACGGUGAAUACGGGGCCGUUUGUGAUGCGCUCCACCUGUCGGCGUUGUGGCGGACGGGGCUCGGUCAUUACGUCGCCGUGCACGGCGUGUCGAGGGACGGGUCAGACCAAACAGAGGAGGACCGUCACAGUCCCAGUACCUGCAGGUAUUGAGGAGGGACAGACUGUCAGAAUGCCGGUGGGGAAGACGGAGAUUUUCAUUACGUUCAGGGUCCAGAAGAGUCCGAUCUUCAGGAGAGAGGGCGCUGACAUUCAUUCUGAUGUCAUGAUCUCUGUCGCUCAGGCCAUACUGGGCGGGACGGUCCGAGCACAAGGAUUACACGAGACCAUCAACCUCUCGAUCCCAGCUGGAAUCCAGACCGACCAGAGGAUCCGGUUGUCCGGUAAAGGAAUCCCGCGGGUCAGCGGCUAUGGUUACGGCGACCACUACGUCCACAUGAAGAUCAGAAUCCCCAAGAUGUUGACCGACAGACAGAGAGCGCUCUUGAUGAGCUACGCAGAGGACGAGACGGAUGUUGAGGGAACCGUCAACGGCGUGACCAGCACCACUGCAGGAGGGGGGCAGUAAACAGACUGAGACAGGGCAGAACAGGCCAGACGAGGGGCAUGAACAUAGAGACGAGGGCUUUUUCUCCAACGUUAAAGAGAAUGUAUAGCUCUUCCUGACAGCCACAGACCAGGCAAAAGAUCCACUGGAAGUUGAGAGAUGAGGCCUUGCUAGCGCAGAUUUAUGUCAACUGCACAAUCUGAAGACAUACAGACAGGACAACACAAGACUUCUGCUGUGGACCAGUCACGUAUCGAACUCACCUGCUCAGAAACUGUGAAUGAAAACUAUGAGGAGAUCUUAUUAUUGACGUUUAAGAGAACGUCCCUACAAACCCCAGAGGAAGAUGACCACACAUAUAUACUUACCAGAGCCGUACGAUAUCAGACGUAACGCCAAUUUCUACAAUAGCUCUCAUCUUUGGUAUGAUUGUUUCCCAGGUUAAAGGUUAUACUUAAAUAUGUUUUGGAAAAUCUGAUUAUGAUUCUCAAAUAGAGAAAUGCCCCGGUAACAUCUAUAAAGUCCCAGUUUUUGUGUAUCGGUGGUCAAGAGUGCCUAUAGAUUGCUGCUGAUAAUGCAGGUAAUAUUUAGGGUCAGCUAAUAUUGGUGUUCAUGCUAGGCGCAUUCUAUGCGAUACAACACUGACCGUUAUAUUUAAUCCAUCUGCCUCAUUAGUAUUGUACAUAGACAGCUGUUGAUAUUAAAACAUUUAAUGUGCUGUAAAAAUAAUUCUGGAAUAAUUAAUAAAAGAUCAUGUAUGUGGUUUUUGGAUGUAUGGAGUGUGGUGGAAAUAAUAUAGUUUAAUUGACGAUAAAAUAUUAA